AACAGGGAUUGCGUCAGUAACGGCGAGUGAAGCGGCAAAAGCUCAAAUUUGAAAUCUGGCACCUUCGGUGUCCGAGUUGUAAUUUGAAGAAGGUAACUUUGGAGUUGGCUCUUGUCUAUGUUCCUUGGAACAGGACGUCACAGAGGGUGAGAAUCCCGUGCGAUGAGAUGUCCAACUCUAUGUAAAGUGCUUUCGAAGAGUCGAGUUGUUUGGGAAUGCAGCUCUAAGUGGGUGGUAAAUUCCAUCUAAAGCUAAAUAUUGGCGAGAGACCGAUAGCGAACAAGUACAGUGAUGGAAAGAUGAAAAGAACUUUGAAAAGAGAGUGAAAAAGUACGUGAAAUUGUUGAAAGGGAAGGGCUUGAGAUCAGACUUGGUAUUUUGCAAGCCUUACCUUCGUGGUGGGGUCCCCUGCAGUUUACUGGGCCAGCAUCGGUUUGGAUGGUAGGAUAAUGACUUGGGAAUGUGGCUUUGCUUCGGUAAAGUGUUAUAGCCCUUGUUGAUACUACCUGUCUAGACCGAGGACUGCGUCUUUGACUAGGAUGCUGGCAUAAUGAUCU
This 557-nucleotide ribosomal RNA is filed under the name Schwanniomyces pseudopolymorphus. RNAcentral describes it as "eukaryotic LSU rRNA". It matches the Rfam family "Eukaryotic large subunit ribosomal RNA", at positions 67 to 640 of the family's 3401-position model. Lineage: Eukaryota; Fungi; Ascomycota; Pichiomycetes; Serinales; Debaryomycetaceae. The record is from RNAcentral.